Molecule: ribosomal RNA, 481 nt
Filed under: uncultured bacterium
Lineage: Bacteria
Description: partial 16S ribosomal RNA
Rfam family: Bacterial small subunit ribosomal RNA
Source: RNAcentral
AAUGAACGUUGGCGGCGUGGAUUAGGCAUGCAAGUCGAGCGAGAACCCAGCAAUGGGGGACAGCGGCGUAAGGGACAGUAAUGUGUAGAUUAUCUGCCCUCGGGACCGGGAUAGCUGCGGGAAACUGCAGGUAAUACCGGAUAACAUCUCCGGAUCAAAGGUGUGAUUCCGCCCGAGGAUGAGUCUGCAUCCUAUUAGCUAGUUGGCAGGGUAAUGGCCUACCAAGGCUUUGAUGGGUAGCGGGUGUAAGAGCACGACCCGCGUCAUUGGGACUGAGACACUGCCCAGACACCUACGGGUGGCUGCAGUCGAGAAUCUUCGGCAAUGGGCGCAAGCCUGACCGAGCGACGCCGCGUGUGGGAUGAAGGCCUUCGGGUUGUAAACCACUGUUAGAGGGGAUGAAAUGCAGGUGGGUUCUCCCAUCUGUUUGACAUAGCCUCAGAGGAAGGACGGGCUAAGUUCGUGCCAGCCGCCGCCGUAA